GACUCCUUCAGUUCCUGUUUGGGCACCUCCUGAGUUUGUUACCAUGGUUACAUAUUAUUUUCACCUGCCCCUUGUGUUCGGGACGCUCACCUGUUUCCAAUCAGAGACACUAUUUAAGCCUGCCUUUGCCAGGCACCCAUCCUGGCUUCUGUGUUUUGCUUUAUGCUGUUGUUACGAACGUUUUUUGCUUGCCUCCUAGCUCAUGCUAAACUAGCAUCCGGUGCGGACGGCACUUUUCUUCUGAGUCUUGUUUUUCUGCUUUUGUGCUUCGUUGAUUUUGAAGAUUAAACUAUACACCUACCUUCAUGCUUUGUCCGUUAAAUAAAUAAAUGAUAAAUGGGUUGUACUUGCAUAGCGCUUUUGUACCUUCAAGGUACUCAAAGCGCUUUGACACUACUUCCACAUUCACCCAUUCACACACACAUUCACACACUGAUGGAGGGAGCUGCUAUGCAAGGCGCUAACCAGCACCCAUCAGGAGCAAGGGUAAAGUGUCUUGCUCAUGUAACCCAUAUUUAAAAUUCCCAUUAAAACACAUGCAUAGACUGCAAAGACUUUUAUUUUGAAGGGUUACUUCCUGCCCAAAAUGGCGCUCGCUUCCUUUUAAGGAAGUGCUGCGCACUUCACUCGUCCCUCCUGUCUGCUGUGGCUGCAUGCUGUGAGACGCACUGGAGACAAACUCGCAAAAUCUUCUUAUUCUCACACAUUGCAAACAUCAUAAUUAGCCAACCUGUUGUAUUAACUAUCGGGCUGUGCAGGUGUGUUGUUUUGCCCUCGAUUACUCAGGUCAGGUAUUUUUUCCGGGAAGGAAUACCCGGUGCCCCAAACAACCUGAGCUCCCCAUCCACUUUUACACUCAACUCAACAAAAUGGCGAGCUAAACAACUAUGCGGCUCCUAGACGAACCAUCUUCUGUUGCCCAAGUUACACUCUUAACCCGACUAGCCCAUGCUAGCGUUACACUCAGGACACAACGGACGUGACGAAGUUGGUUCUAGGUAGGGGUUGGACCAGGGACCCUCGGGUUGCGCACGGCCACUCACCACUGCGCCACGCCGUCCGUCCUGCAUCCCGGGAGAACAAACCGCGCAAUGAGCUGCAACCCAAAUCGUGACAGUGAGAAGCCAGCUUGUCAGUUCUCCCACAGCUGACAACAAGGAGAUGGAGACGCGCCGGCGAAGACGGGAGCCAGCCAGAAAGGCUUCGCCUCGUUCCCGUAACUGUCCUUUGGACAGCAGGACACCACAAUCAGCCCAGUAUUCCUCGCCGCCGGAGUUUGGUAAUCCGAUUCAUCGUUUUGCCAAACAGUUCACUCCAUGGUUGGUCAAAAAACUGCACUCUAGCUCUGAUGACAUCACCGAACCAGCGUGGGGCGAUGACAUAACUUCGUCGGCGUCAUCCAAGGAAGUCACAGACCACUAUUUUCGUUUUUUGCCUUCUGUCUCCCUUAGUCAGCCACCUCCUAAAGACUUAAAUUCGAAAAUUUAACAACUUGUUUUUAACUUUAGACUUUGUUAGCCACAUUCUCCUUCUGAUUGCCAAGUGAAGUGAAGUGAAUUAUAUUUAUAUAGCGCUUUUCUCUAGUGACUCAAAGCGCUUUACAUAGUGAAACCCAAUAUCUAAGUUACAUAUAAACCAGUGUGGGUGCCACUGGGAGCAGGUGGGUAAAGUGUCUUGCCCAAGGACACAACGGCAGUGACUAGGAUGGCGGAAGCAGGAAUCGAACCUGCAACCCUCAAGUUGCUGGCACGGCCGCUCUACCAACCGGGCUAUGCCGCCAAGCUCCUCCCCCUGAGACUCCAGCACGUCCACCACCAUCGGUCCAUCGGCGUGCCAAGCCGCAACCCCCGGCUAGGCCACCUCCGCCAAAGCCAAGGCUAGCGACCCUUUCAGCUCCAAGACCCAAAUAAUGACAGAUUAAGUCUAAUUCAGUGUUUUUGAAACUGCACCAAUUUGUUCUGCAGAUAUUUCAACUAACAAAGUGUUUUGACAAAGGGAUUAUUUGUAACAUGUACAUUUUCUGAAUGUGCUUGUUCUACUUUGGGCCAAAGUAAAACAAAGAAAUCUAUCUGAAGUUGUCAUAGUUGUGUUUUUAAGGUAGCAUGCCAUGAUUUUACCCGUCCGGCACACGUGGGAAUAGAUUUUCCCCACAUGCGGUCACUAAACUAAAAUGAGUGUGACACCCAUGUUCUAGGGAAAAAAGAUUCUUGAAUGUUUUCAAAAUGCAAUUAUUUGUACGGUAGUGUUGACAAAUAACUGCAUUUCUUUACGUUGUGAAACUAUGCUGAAUAUUUUAUCCUAUUUGAUAGUUCAUAUGUAUUCGUACAAACCCUAUAAUCUGCUAAAUUCUGUG
Long non-coding RNA from Nerophis ophidion (straightnose pipefish), 2353 nucleotides. RefSeq lists it as uncharacterized. The transcript has 4 exons. Lineage: Eukaryota; Metazoa; Chordata; Actinopteri; Syngnathiformes; Syngnathidae. The record is from RefSeq and is a predicted model, not a curated record.